UACGUAGGGCCCGAGCGUUAUCCGGUAUUAUUGGGCGUAAAGAGUGCGUAGGCGGUUGAGUAAGAUAAUGGUUAAAGCCCCGGGCUCAACUCGGGAACAGCCGUUAUUACUGCUCGACUAGUCGAUAGCAGGGGCAAGCAGAAUUCUCGGUGUAGGAGUGAAAUCCGUUGAGAUCGAGAGGAAUACCAAUGGCGAAGGCAGCUUGCUAGGCUAUAUGAGACGCUGAGGCACGAAAGCGUGGGGAGCGAACGGG
RNAcentral lists this ribosomal RNA (253 nucleotides) under uncultured bacterium. Its description in RNAcentral is "partial 16S ribosomal RNA". It matches the Rfam family "Bacterial small subunit ribosomal RNA", at positions 524 to 776 of the family's 1533-position model. The record is from RNAcentral.